RNAcentral lists this ribosomal RNA (530 nucleotides) under uncultured bacterium. RNAcentral's name for it is "bacterial SSU rRNA". It matches the Rfam family "Bacterial small subunit ribosomal RNA", at positions 356 to 896 of the family's 1533-position model. The record is from RNAcentral.
GGGGAAUAUUGCACAAUGGGCGCAAGCCUGAUGCAGCGACGCCGCGUGGGGGAUGACGGCCUUCGGGUUGUAAACUCCUUUCGCUAGGGACGAAGCGUUUUGUGACGGUACCUGGAGAAGAAGCACCGGCUAACUACGUGCCAGCAGCCGCGGUAAUACGUAGGGUGCAAGCGUUGUCCGGAAUUACUGGGCGUAAAGAGCUCGUAGGUGGUUUGUCACGUCGUCUGUGAAAUUCCACAGCUUAACUGUGGGCGUGCAGGCGAUACGGGCUGACUUGAGUACUGUAGGGGUAACUGGAAUUCCUGGUGUAGCGGUGAAAUGCGCAGAUAUCAGGAGGAACACCGAUGGCGAAGGCAGGUUACUGGGCAGUUACUGACGCUGAGGAGCGAAAGCAUGGGUAGCAAACAGGAUUAGAUACCCUGGUAGUCCAUGCCGUAAACGGUGGGCGCUAGGUGUAGGGGCCUUUUGGGGUUUCUGUGCCGUAGCUAACGCAUUAAGCGCCCCGCCUGGGGAGUACGGCCGCAAGGCUA